This 375-nucleotide ribosomal RNA is filed under the name uncultured organism. RNAcentral describes it as "partial 16S ribosomal RNA". It matches the Rfam family "Archaeal small subunit ribosomal RNA", at positions 477 to 851 of the family's 1478-position model. The record is from RNAcentral.
CAGCACCUCAAGUUGUCAGGAGGAUUAUUGGGCCUAAAGCAUCCGUAGCCUGCUCUGUAAGUUUCCGGGUUAAAUCCAUUAGCUCAACUAAUGGGCUGCCGGAAAAACUGCAAAGCUAGGAAGUGGGAGAGGUAGACGGUACUCGGUAGGAAGGGGUAAAAUCCUUUGAUCUAUUGAUGACCACCUGUGGCGAAGGCGGUCUACCAGAACACGUUCGACGGUGAGGGAUGAAAGCUGGGGGAGCAAACCGGAUUAGAUACCCGGGUAGUCCCAGCUGUAAACGAUGCAGACUCGGUGAUGCACUGGCUUGUGGCCAGUGCAGUGCCGCAGGGAAGCCGUUAAGUUUGCCGCCUGGGAAGUACGUACGCAAGUAUG